GACGAACGCUGGCGGUGUGCUUAACACAUGCAAGUGGUGCGACGAACCAGAGCUUGCUCUGGGGCAAAGCCGCGAACGGGUGAGUAACACGUGGGUAAUCUACCCCGAUGACCGGGACAACCCGAGGAAACUCGGGCUAAUACCGGAUGUGGUACGGAGACAUAAGUCUCUUUACUAAAGGUAGCUUCGGCUUCCGCAUUGGGAGGGGCCCGCGGCCCAUUAGCUAGUUGGUGGGGUCAAGGCCUACCAAGGCAACGAUGGGUAGCUGGUCUGAGAGGACGAUCAGCCACACUGGGACUGAGACACGGCCCAGACUCCUACGGGAGGCAGCAGUGGGGAAUCUUGCGCAAUGCGCGAAAGCGUGACGCAGCAACACCGCGUGAGGGAAGACGGCCUUAGGGUUGUAAACCUCUUUCAGAUGGGGCGAAGGUGAUGCGGUGAAUAGCCGAUGUCAUUGACGGUACCGUCAGAAGAAGCUCCGGCUAACUACGUGCCAGCAGCCGCGGUAAU
RNAcentral lists this ribosomal RNA (510 nucleotides) under uncultured bacterium. Its description in RNAcentral is "bacterial SSU rRNA". It matches the Rfam family "Bacterial small subunit ribosomal RNA", at positions 28 to 524 of the family's 1533-position model. The record is from RNAcentral.